Molecule: ribosomal RNA, 442 nt
Filed under: uncultured bacterium
Lineage: Bacteria
Description: partial 16S ribosomal RNA
Rfam family: Bacterial small subunit ribosomal RNA
Source: RNAcentral
CCUACGGGCGGCAGCAGUGGGGAAUAUUGGGCAAUGGGCGCAAGCCUGACCCAGCAACGCCGCGUGAAGGAAGAAGGCUUGCGGGAUGUAAACUUCUCUUAAGAGGGAAGAGCAGAAGACGGUACCUCUUGAAUAAGCCACGGCUCACUACGUGCCCGCAGCCGGCGUAAUACGUAGGUGGAAAGCGUUGUCCGGAUGUAGUGUGUGUAAGGGGCGUGGAGCCGGGCUGACAAGUCAGAUGUGAAAUUCCGGGGCUCAACCCCGGACCUGCACGUGAAACUGUUGGUCUUGAGUAUCGGAGAGGCAGGCGGAAUUCCUAGUGUAGCGGUGAAAUGCGUAGAUAUUAGGAGGAACACCAGUGGCGAAGGCGGCCUGCUGGACGACAACUGACGGUGAGGCGCGAAAGCGUGGGGAGCAAACAGGAUUAGAUACCCGAGUAGUC